Molecule: long non-coding RNA, 1968 nt
Organism: Mobula hypostoma (lesser devil ray)
Lineage: Eukaryota; Metazoa; Chordata; Chondrichthyes; Myliobatiformes; Myliobatidae
Exons: 3
Source: RefSeq, a predicted model, not a curated record
UGGGAAUACCUCAUGCUGUCUUCCCCAGGAGAAGGCAACUCCAACUCCUACUGGCUGUUCGUCACUCACCGAUCACGGUAUCCACUCAACUUCGAGCACGGAGCGGCGGAGAGACGGCGUAGGCCCAGCUGACGGGAUGCUGCUUGACCUGCAGAGUUCCUCCAGCAUAUGGAUUUCCAGUAUCUGCAGAAUCUCUUGGAUUUACAACACAUCCUGUGAUUAUGUAUUGCAUUGACCUGCUGCUGCCAAGUCAACAAAUUUCACCUCAUGUGCCGGUGAUAAUAAACCUGAUUCUGACUCUGACUCAGAGCUUGUGUACACAAAUUGAUUGUGUGUCUGUAAAGUGGUGCUAGACACAGAAGUUCUGUACAUAAGGUGACAGACAGGAAAUGUCAGUCGAAGUGAAAACAGAUCUCUACAAAGUGAUUGGAAUUAUUUACAAAUAUAAAAUACAAAAUAAUUGAUUGAUUAAGUAUUCACCCUCUUUAAUAUGACACACUAAAUCACCAUUGCAGCCAAUUGGAUUUUGAAGUCUUUUAAUUAGUUAAAUAAAGAUCACAGUGUGCAGUCAAGGUGUUUCAAUUGAAUGCGGUUAAAAUACACCUGCACCUGGGAAGUGCAACUGCUGGUGAGUCAGUAUCCUGGCAAAAACUACACCACAAACGUAAAAGGAUACUCCAAGCAACUCCAUGAGAAGGUUAUUGAAAAACACAAGUCAGAAGAUGGAUAAAAGAAUAUUUCCAAGUCGUUGAAUAUCCCUUGAGGCACAGUUAAGACAAUCAUCAAGAAAUGGAAAGAAUAUGGCACAGCUGUAAAUCUGCCUAGAGCAGGCCGUCCUCAAAAAUAGAGUGACUGUACAAGAUGGGGACUGGUGAGGGAGGCCACUAUAAUAACUCUGGAGGAAGUACAAGUUUCAAUAGCUGAGAGACUGCAUAAUUGAAUAAUUGUUGCCUGGGUUCUUCACCAGUCACGGCUUUAUGGGAGAAUGACAAAGAGAAAGGCACUGUUGAAAAAAACUCAAAUGAAAUCUCAGCUAGAGUUUGCCAGAAGGCAUGUGGGAUACUCUGAAGUCAGCUGGAAGAAGAUUCUAUGGUCUGAUGAAACCAAAAUUGAGCUUCUUGGCCAUCAGACUAAAAGCUACUUCUGGCGUAAGCCAAACACUGCACGUUAUGAAAAACACACCAUCUCUACCGUGAAGCAUGAUGGUGGCUGUAACAUGCUGUGGGGAUGCUUCACUGCAGCAGGCUCCGGAAGGCUUGUGAAGGUAGAGGGUAAAAUGAAUGCAGCAAAAUACAGGGAAAUCCUGGAGGAAAGCCUGAUGCAGUCUGCAAGAGAACUGUGACUUGGGAGAAGAUUUGUUUUCCAGCUAGACAGUGACACCUAGCACAAAACCAAAACUACACAGGAAUGGCUUAAAAACAACAAAGUUAAUGUCCUGGAGUGGCCAAGUCAGAGUCCAGACCUCAAUCCAAUUGAGAAUUUGUGGCUGGACUUAAAAAGAUCUGUUUAUUCAUGAUACCCAUACAAUCUGAUGGAACUUGAGCAGUUUUGUAAAGAAGUAUGGGGAAAAAUUGCAGUGUCUAGAUGUGCAAAGCUGAUAGAGACCUAUCCACACAGACUCAAGGCUGUAAUUGCUGCCAAAGGUGCAUCUACUAAAUACUGACUUGAAGGGGAUGAAUCAAUCAACUCAAUCAAUUAUUUUGUGUUUUAUAUUUGUAAUUAAUUUAGAUCACUUUGUAGAAAACUGUUUUCACUUUGACACAAAAGUCUCUUUCUGUUGAUCAGUGUCAAAAAAAGCCAAAUUAAAUCCACUGUGAUUCAACGUUGUAAAGCAAUAAAGCAUGAAAACUUCCAAGGGGGUUGAAGCAACAUACAUCAAAGUUGCUGGUGAACGCAGCAGGCCAAGCAGCAUCUAUAGGAAGAGGCGCAGUCAACGUUUCAGGCCGAGACCAGGCACUGUAUAUGUAC